GCCGACGUAGCUCAUCAGGUAGAGCAACUGACUUGUAAUCAGUAGGUGGAGGGUCCGAGUCCUUUCGUCGGCACCA
Molecule: transfer RNA, 76 nt
Filed under: Firmicutes bacterium CAG:345
Lineage: Bacteria; Bacillati; Bacillota
Also listed under: 1 other name
Description: transfer RNA-Thr(TGT)
Rfam family: tRNA
About the family: Transfer RNA (tRNA) molecules are approximately 80 nucleotides in length. Their secondary structure includes four short double-helical elements and three loops (D, anti-codon, and T loops). Further hydrogen bonds mediate the characteristic L-shaped molecular structure. tRNAs have two regions of fundamental functional importance: the anti-codon, which is responsible for specific mRNA codon recognition, and the 3' end, to which the tRNAs corresponding amino acid is attached (by aminoacyl-tRNA synthetases). tRNAs cope with the degeneracy of the genetic code in two manners: having more than one tRNA (with a specific anti-codon) for a particular amino acid; and 'wobble' base-pairing, i.e. permitting non-standard base-pairing at the 3rd anti-codon position.
Source: RNAcentral